GAUGAACGCUAGCGGCAGGCCUAACACAUGCAAGUCGAGGGGCAGCACAGAAACAGCAAUGUUUUGGUGGCGACCGGCGGACGGGUGCGUAACGCGUAUGCAACCUACCUUUAACAGGGGGAUAACGGAGAGAAAUUUCCACUAAUACCCCAUAACAUCGAUCAAGGCAUCUUGAUUGGUUGAAAACUCCGGUGGUAAAGAUGGGCAUGCGUUGUAUUAGGUAGUUGGUGAGGUAAUGGCUCACCAAGCCUACGAUACAUAGGGGGACUGAGAGGUUAGCCCCCCACACUGGUACUGAGACACGGACCAGACUCCUACGGGAGGCAGCAGUGAGGAAUAUUGGUCAAUGGGGGCAACCCUGAACCAGCCAUGCCGCGUGCAGGAAGACGGCUCUAUGAGUUGUAAACUGCUUUUAAACAGGGAUAAAGCACUGUAUGUAUACUGUGUUGAAGGUACUGUAAGAAUAAGGAUCGGCUAACUCCGUGCCAGCCGCCGCAGUAA
This 501-nucleotide ribosomal RNA is filed under the name uncultured bacterium. RNAcentral's name for it is "partial 16S ribosomal RNA". It matches the Rfam family "Bacterial small subunit ribosomal RNA", at positions 28 to 523 of the family's 1533-position model. The record is from RNAcentral.